RNAcentral lists this ribosomal RNA (253 nucleotides) under uncultured bacterium. RNAcentral describes it as "partial 16S ribosomal RNA". It matches the Rfam family "Bacterial small subunit ribosomal RNA", at positions 524 to 776 of the family's 1533-position model. The record is from RNAcentral.
GACGGGGGAUGCGAGCGUUAUCCGGAAUGAUUGGGCGUAAAGGGUCCGCAGGUGGCCCGGUCAGUCCGCUGUCAAAGCCUGGGGCUCAACCCUGGAGAGGCGGCGGAGACCACCGGGCUUGAGUCCGGUAGGGGCAGAGGGAAUUCCCGGUGGAGCGGUGAAAUGCGUAGAGAUCGGGAAGAACAUCGGUGGCGAAGGCGGCUAGCUGGGCUCUUGCUGACGCUGAUGCGCGACAGCGUGGGGAGCAAACAGG